This 589-nucleotide ribosomal RNA is filed under the name uncultured bacterium. Its description in RNAcentral is "bacterial SSU rRNA". It matches the Rfam family "Bacterial small subunit ribosomal RNA", at positions 338 to 944 of the family's 1533-position model. The record is from RNAcentral.
CCUACGGGAGGCAGCAGUGGGGAAUAUUGCACAAUGGGCGAAAGCCUGAUGCAGCGACGCCGCGUGAGGGACGAAGGCCUUCGGGUUGUAAACCUCUUUCAGCAGGGAAGAAGCGAAAGUGACGGUACCUGCAGAAGAAGCGCCGGCUAACUACGUGCCAGCAGCCGCGGUAAUACGUAGGGCGCAAGCGUUAUCCGGAAUUAUUGGGCGUAAAGAGCUCGUAGGCGGUUUGUCGCGUCUGCUGUGAAAGCCCGGGGCUCAACCCCGGGUCUGCAGUGGGUACGGGCAGACUAGAGUGCAGUAGGGGAGACUGGAAUUCCUGGUGUAGCGGUGAAAUGCGCAGAUAUCAGGAGGAACACCGAUGGCGAAGGCAGGUCUCUGGGCUGUAACUGACGCUGAGGAGCGAAAGCAUGGGGAGCGAACAGGAUUAGAUACCCUGGUAGUCCAUGCCGUAAACGUUGGGCACUAGGUGUGGGGGACAUUCCACGUUUUCCGCGUCCGUAGCUAACGCAUAGUGCCCGCUGGGAGUACGGCGCAGGCAAACUCAAAGGAAUUGACGGCUUGAGAGNGCGAGCGACGACGAGGAGAG